This 475-nucleotide ribosomal RNA is filed under the name uncultured Erysipelothrix sp. RNAcentral describes it as "bacterial SSU rRNA". It matches the Rfam family "Bacterial small subunit ribosomal RNA", at positions 901 to 1382 of the family's 1533-position model. Lineage: Bacteria; Bacillati; Bacillota; Erysipelotrichia; Erysipelotrichales; Erysipelotrichaceae. The record is from RNAcentral.
UCAAAGGAAUUGACGGGACCCGCACAAGCGGUGGAUUAUGUUGUUUAAUUCGACGCAACGCGAAGAACCUUACCAGGCCUUGACAUACUCGGCAAAGCUCUAGAGAUAGAGUGGAGGUUAUCCGGGAUACAGGUGGUGCAUGGUUGUCGUCAGCUCGUGUCGUGAGAUGUUGGGUUAAGUCCCGCAACGAGCGCAACCCUUGUCUUUAGUUACCAUCAUUCAGUUGGGGACUCUAGAGAGACUGCCGGUGAUAAACCGGAGGAAGGUGGGGAUGACGUCAAAUCAUCAUGCCCCUUAUGGCCUGGGCUACAAACGUAAUACAAUGGCGUAUACAAAGGGAUGCGAAAGGGCGACCUGGAGCAAAACUCACAAAGUACGUCUCAGUUCAGAUUGGAGUCUGCAACUCGACUCCAUGAAGGCGGAAUCGCUAGUAAUCGCGGAUCAGCACGCCGCGGUGAAUACGUUCCCGGGCCUU